This 253-nucleotide ribosomal RNA is filed under the name uncultured bacterium. Its description in RNAcentral is "partial 16S ribosomal RNA". It matches the Rfam family "Bacterial small subunit ribosomal RNA", at positions 524 to 776 of the family's 1533-position model. The record is from RNAcentral.
UACGUAGGGUGCAAGCGUUGUCCGGAAUUAUUGGGCGUAAAGAGCUCGUAGGCGGUCUGUCGCGUCGGAUGUGAAAAUCCAGGGCUUAACCCUGGACCUGCAUUCGAUACGGGCAGACUAGAGUUCGGUAGGGGAGACUGGAAUUCCUGGUGUAGCGGUGAAAUGCGCAGAUAUCAGGAGGAACACCGGUGGCGAAGGCGGGUCUCUGGGCCGAUACAGACGCUGAGGAGCGAAAGCGUGGGGAGCGAACAGG